This is a non-coding RNA of Pelobates cultripes (western spadefoot toad), 224 nucleotides long. Lineage: Eukaryota; Metazoa; Chordata; Amphibia; Anura; Pelobatidae. The record is from the annotation of a GenBank genome assembly.
CAUCUAUGUAACAUUUGUGACAUUUAUGUAUUUUUAGGGGUACUUUUGGGGUGUUUUAAAAAAGUAUGUUUUUUUUCUGUGCUUGGAGAUAACUGGAUUAGAAUUAGUACAGUUAUUGACCCAAUUAUCUCCCAAGCAGAGGGGAGGGAUUGUGUGCUGUGUGUGGGAGUGUCGUGCCUUGUAACCUUAUGUCACUGGUCUGUGAAGUUGCAAAUCAGUCCCCC